UACGUAGGGCGCAAGCGUUUGUCCGGAAUUAUUGGGCGUAAAGAGCUCGUAGGCGGUCUGUCGCGUCGGCUGUGAAAGCCCGGAGCUCAACUCCGGGUCUGCAGUCGAUACGGGCAGACUUGAGUGUUGCAGGGGAGACUGGAAUUCCUGGUGUAGCGGUGGAAUGCGCAGAUAUCAGGAGGAACACCGAUGGCGAAGGCAGAUCUCUGGGCCGUAACUGACGCUGAGGAGCGAAAGCAUGGGGAGCGAACAGG
RNAcentral lists this ribosomal RNA (254 nucleotides) under uncultured bacterium. RNAcentral's name for it is "partial 16S ribosomal RNA". It matches the Rfam family "Bacterial small subunit ribosomal RNA", at positions 524 to 776 of the family's 1533-position model. The record is from RNAcentral.